ACGGCCAUACCAUGCUGAAUAUACCGGUUCUCGUUAGAUCACCGAAGUCAAGCAUCAUUGGGCGCGGUCAGUACUUGGGUGUGUGACCAACUGGGAAUACCGCGUGCCGUUU
This 112-nucleotide ribosomal RNA is filed under the name Caerostris darwini. Lineage: Eukaryota; Metazoa; Arthropoda; Arachnida; Araneae; Araneidae. The record is from RNAcentral.